Molecule: long non-coding RNA, 1413 nt
Organism: Gasterosteus aculeatus aculeatus (three-spined stickleback)
Lineage: Eukaryota; Metazoa; Chordata; Actinopteri; Perciformes; Gasterosteidae
Source: Ensembl
GAAGGAACGGUUGCGCGCAACAACAGUUGUGCAAUUACAGAACCAACGAUGAGGCUGGCGAUACGAAAUGAAACCACAGGCAAACGGAUCUCACGGCGGAGACCCGGGAAAAGAAAAGAAAAUAAGGAACUAUUCUGACCAUAAAAUCAUUCAACAGCGUAACACAGUUGGCGCUUUCACUCUCUUACAGCAAACGUAUCACAGCAUCAGAUCAACAGGGGACAUUACGACAUUUGCAGGUCUCCUGCUACCACCAUUCCACCUCUGCAGCUCAUCCACAAUGCAGCAGCUCCACUGCUCUUUAACCUUCCUAAGUCCUCUAAACAUGGUGCUCACGUACCGUGCUGUGAAUGGAUGGGGUCCAGCUUACAUCCAGGACCUGGUCCAACCCGACAUCCCGACCCGCACUCUCCGCUUUGCAUGUGAUAAACUGCUUGUUCCUCCUCACUGAGAGAAAAACACUCGACUAGAUCUCCACUCUUUGCUGUCCUGCUCCUAAAUGGUGGAAGGAGGUCUCUGAAGACAUCAGGACCACAGAGAGCCUUCACAUCUUCAGACUAAAGACACACCUCUCCAGACUCUACGUCUACUAACACACUAACUAACUGUAGCACUUACAUUGGACUUAUAAUGGUUCUUAUCUACAGCGAGUUGUAAAGCGGCUUAUUAGCGUCAGCUAAUUGACAUGUGAUGUAAUGAAGGUGUGAAGGUGUGGACUCUGCUAUGAAUCAGGCUGAGGACCCAGAGGACGGAGUCCCUCCCUCUGAAGCCCCUCUGUGUGGGGAACAUGACAGCCAGACCAAAGCUCAGAGGAUCCAUCAGAGACCAGGACCUGGACCUGGACCCAGCUGUGUGUCCAUGAAGAGUGAUCGGUCUAAAGGUCGACUGACUUCAAAGAUGGACGUGGUUCUUAUGAGCCUCACUAAGCUCUAGAACAGAAGAACCAGAUGAAGAACAUGAUGAUUGGUUGUAUUGUAACAUUAAGUGAAGAUGGAUUGAUGUCAGUGAGGGAUUUCACAUUCAUUUGUGGUGUGAAAACAUGGCAGGUCUCCCUGCUCGAUGUCGCACCGUCUCAUUCAUUCACUUGGCUCAUGACGUCCACCUGAAUGUUCCUCUUUGGCUAAAAAGUGCCCUAAAUCGCUUGAGACAGGUAACAUCACAUUAUGGCUCAAUUCAGUGCACCUCGUGACUCACUCUCCACCAAUCAGAGCGCUUGAUUUCACCCAUAUUAUAAAAGAAUAUGCGAUACGGGACAUGAAACAUAACCAGUAGUCCAAGUGCAAGCAGCCAGUUGAUGGUGAAUUUAUGCUACUUUGUUGAAUUCAUAUGUUUGUGAAUGUGACUUUGAAAGAGUCAGAGCCUCCAGCCACCAACCUCACCGCACGUCACUGCCAGCAGCUCUGUGAAAGGUCC